Molecule: long non-coding RNA, 452 nt
Organism: Planococcus citri (citrus mealybug)
Lineage: Eukaryota; Metazoa; Arthropoda; Insecta; Hemiptera; Pseudococcidae
Exons: 3
Source: RefSeq, a predicted model, not a curated record
CCAAUUUGAUGAAAAACUACCGCUAUUCAAAGAUUAUGUUCCAAGUAGUUCUCAAAGACAGUGUUAACUAUGGAGGUUUAAAGAGCGAAGUGGUGGCAGCUGGAGGGCGAUAUGAUGGUUUAAUUGAGUUGUGCGAACGUGAUUCUGGAAUCGAGAGUGGAGCUCGACAGUCAGCUGUUGGUGUCACAAUCUACCUUGAUCAAUUCGUCGAGAUCUUAGGACCACUGACAAAAUUCGAAGUGCUGGUUUGCUCCGCAGACUCGAAUGAAUUAUUAAAAGAAAAAUUGGAUUUGGCGAAGAAAAUAUGGGCAGCCAAAAUACGAUGUACCAUUUCUUACGCUGCACAUAACAGUUUGGAAGAAAUUCAGGAAUACUGCAGAAAGAUGAAGAUAGAUUACGCAUUAUUUCUGGAAAAAUCUAACCUUGAGAGAGUCACAUUGUGUUCUCAGAUA